UUCCUACGGGAGGCAGCAGUGGGGAAUUUUGGACAAUGGGGGCAACCCUGAUCCAGCAAUGCCGCGUGUGUGAAGAAGGCCUUCGGGUUGUAAAGCACUUUUGUCCGGAAAGAAAACGCCGUGGUUAAUACCCGUGGCGGAUGACGGUACCGGAAGAAUAAGCACCGGCUAACUACGUGCCAGCAGCCGCGGUAAUACGUAGGGUGCAAGCGUUAAUCGGAAUUACUGGGCGUAAAGCGUGCGCAGGCGGUCCGCUAAGACAGAUGUGAAAUCCCCGGGCUUAACCUGGGAACUGCAUUUGUGACUGGCGGGCUAGAGUAUGGCAGAGGGGGGUAGAAUUCCACGUGUAGCAGUGAAAUGCGUAGAGAUGUGGAGGAAUACCGAUGGCGAAGGCAGCCCCCUGGGCCAAUACUGACGCUCAUGCACGAAAGCGUGGGGAGCAAACAGGAUUAGAUACCCUGGUAGUCC
RNAcentral lists this ribosomal RNA (468 nucleotides) under uncultured Burkholderia sp. Its description in RNAcentral is "bacterial SSU rRNA". It matches the Rfam family "Bacterial small subunit ribosomal RNA", at positions 336 to 796 of the family's 1533-position model. Lineage: Bacteria; Pseudomonadati; Pseudomonadota; Betaproteobacteria; Burkholderiales; Burkholderiaceae. The record is from RNAcentral.